GCGGUCUGUAGCUCAUGUAAGAGCGCUGGUCUUGUAAACCAGAGGUUAAAUUGUAGUAUUUCUACCGCU
Molecule: transfer RNA, 69 nt
Filed under: Planaxis sulcatus
Lineage: Eukaryota; Metazoa; Mollusca; Gastropoda; Planaxidae
Description: tRNA-Thr
Source: RNAcentral